GUACAUGCAUAUAUUUUCUUUACAUAAAAAGACAACCAACCGAAUAUUAAUUAAAACAUACUGAUUAUUAAAAUGCUCCAAUUAUUACCACAGACAUUGGCCCUGAUUCAAAAAAGUGUUUAAUCGCAUGUUGAUUCAUUUUUUUUCAGUCUUAGGGACUUUCCUGUGUUCCAGUGUGUGUGCAUAAGCAUUCUUCCCAAUUUCUUCCCCUCUCCUUGAAUUAGCAUUAGAAAAAAUCUUGUCUCCACAUGCAAAGAAACCCAAGGUUCAUAACGCAGGUUCUGUUGCCAUACCCCAUCUCUGAUUCUUCAGCUUCACUGAGAGAAUGUAAGACCAAGAUAUUUUCAUAUUAUGCAAAGUUGCACGUUUAACUUGCUGUUGUUUUAACCCCCCUGGAAGCUUGAGGCUGAAGUCUGUUUCCUUGCUGCUGGAGAAGUUUUUCUUUUCUAUUGUGUGAGUGUCCUGGGUUGUUUUUGUAGGGCUGUGAUCUUGGGCUGUUUGGCUAGCUGUGUUUCUCUUUUAUUUUCACGUUCGGUGAGGCAUUUGAUCUGAAACAAAGCAAGCUGUACAUGAACUGAAUUAAAAGAAGGUAAAAUUUGUAGCCUGCUACCAAACGCUUUGAGACUCACUUUAUCCAUAAUUUCUUGAUAAUUUUUUGGACAUGGAGAUGCAUCCCCCUCCCCACCAAGCCUGUUUGCUAGCUGCUGGGGUUGCUUUAGUCCCCCCCUUGGCCAGAGUCUGGCAAAAGCUUGAUUGAUAGGCAAAAUAGCCUGAAAUGCAUCUUUCAUGGGAGUUUGAAAAUAGAAAGUGCAACUCGUAAUCCUUUCUGGAUCAGGCUGCAAUCACGCUGCACCGCAACCCUUGUCCUCCGUGCGCUGCGCUCAUUUACCUCCCACGUAAACGCAGGAGAGGAUUUUUUUUUAUUUUUUUUAAAAAAAAAGCUCUCCGCCUGUUCUGUUACGGCGUGUCCUCGUACACCACUGUCCGAGAAGUACGUGUCGCACACGCCGACCAAAUUUUCCGGCUUGGGGACCGGCUGCCAGCAGCGCUGCAGCGGCGGCGGGGCGACCGUGACCCCUGCCGGCGGCGGCCGCCCCCAACCGGGAAGAGCUCAGGGAUGGAGACGUUCAAUCCUUGGGCUUGUCCCCACGGAAACAGAAACAGCUGUGGCUGGAGCUUGCUGAAAAGGAAAUCCCACAGCCUUGUCACAAGUUUAAAGAUAAGUAACAUCCCUACUGGAUUCAUGAUCAAAGAGCUCAUUGCAGUUGUAUUCCCACAUUCUUACUUCUCCUUUCAAUGUAUUCCAAGCUCUUUUUUUCUUUUCCUUUAUUUUUUUAAAAAUCUGAAAGUGUUGUAUAUUUUCCUGUGACCUUUCUGACCAGUUCCCACUAAAUCAGGAGGAUGAAGUGAAUGAAUCUAGCUAUGUUACAACCUUCUCCUAGUGAUUUGCAAAAUUUCUGCAUUUUUCAUACAUAACUUCUAAUUGUGUUAGAACUGCAACAUCAAAGUUACUUGAUUUCUGUGCUGAGUUUUCAUGCUGCCACAGUUUUGUUUGACAGAGAAGUAAUUACAGCAAUGCAGCGAUGGGUUUAAGCCACGGACUCUGAUCCAGAACCAUGCUUUCUCAGAAUGUGUAAGCCCAAGUCAACUUUCCACCACCUAGCUAAUGCCGUUGGAAAGUUUGAGGUGCUAGGCACAUGUUCCUGUAAGAAGUGUUAACCACUUAUUACAUGUUCUCUGGCUGAGGUGCUCUAGGAUGUUUUAAAUACACCCUAAGAGACCCCCACUGCCUUGUGCCAAAGUUGGUGGCUUUCUUCUUGUAUUUUUUCUGUCAUUCUUC
RNAcentral lists this long non-coding RNA (1840 nucleotides) under Anas platyrhynchos platyrhynchos (common mallard). RNAcentral's name for it is "lncRNA (ENSAPLG00000017449.1)". The record is from RNAcentral. Lineage: Eukaryota; Metazoa; Chordata; Aves; Anseriformes; Anatidae.